GAUGAACGCUGGCGGCGUGCCUAAUACAUGCAAGUCGAGCGAACGGACGAGAAGCUUGCUUCUCUGAUGUUAGCGGCGGACGGGUGAGUAACACGUGGAUAACCUACCUAUAAGACUGGGAUAACUUCGGGAAACCGGAGCUAAUACCGGAUAAUAUUUUGAACCGCAUGGUUCAAAAGUGAAAGACGGUCUUGCUGUCACUUAUAGAUGGAUCCGCGCUGCAUUAGCUAGUUGGUAAGGUAACGGCUUACCAAGGCAACGAUGCAUAGCCGACCUGAGCGGGUGAUCAGCCACCCUGGAACUGAGACACGGUCCAGACUCCUACGGGAGGCAGCAGUAGGGAAUCUUCCGCAAUGGGCGAAAGCCUGACGGAGCAACGCCGCGUGCAUGAUGAAGGUCUUCGGAUCGUAAAACUCUGUUAUUAGGGAAGAACAUAUGUGUAAGUACCUGUGCACAUCUUGACGGUACCUAAUCAGAAAGCCACGGCUAACUACGUG
This 497-nucleotide ribosomal RNA is filed under the name uncultured bacterium. RNAcentral's name for it is "partial 16S ribosomal RNA". It matches the Rfam family "Bacterial small subunit ribosomal RNA", at positions 28 to 507 of the family's 1533-position model. The record is from RNAcentral.